CCAGACUCCUACGGGAGGCAGCAGUGGGGAAUAUUGCACAAUGGGGGAAACCCUGAUGCAGCGACGCCGCGUGAGUGAAGAAGUAAUUCGUUAUGUAAAGCUCUAUCAGCAGGGAAGAAACAGACGGUACCUGAGUAAGAAGCCCCGGCUAACUACGUGCCAGCAGCCGCGGUAAUACGUAGGGGGCAAGCGUUAUCCGGAUUUACUGGGUGUAAAGGGAGCGUAGACGGCGACGCAAGUCUGGAGUGAAAGCCCGGGGCCCAACCCCGGGACUGCUCUGGAAACUGUAUGGCUGGAGUGCAGGAGAGGUAAGUGGAAUUCCUAGUGUAGCGGUGAAAUGCGUAGAUAUUAGGAGGAACACCAGUGGCGAAGGCGGCUUACUGGACUGUAACUGACGUUGAGGCUCGAAAGCGUGGGGAGCAAACAGGAUUAGAUCCCCGAGUA
RNAcentral lists this ribosomal RNA (444 nucleotides) under uncultured bacterium. Its description in RNAcentral is "bacterial SSU rRNA". It matches the Rfam family "Bacterial small subunit ribosomal RNA", at positions 331 to 792 of the family's 1533-position model. The record is from RNAcentral.